Nicotiana tabacum (common tobacco) is the source of this 104-nucleotide non-coding RNA. The record is from RefSeq and is a predicted model, not a curated record. Lineage: Eukaryota; Viridiplantae; Streptophyta; Magnoliopsida; Solanales; Solanaceae.
AGGGUUUGAGGAAUAUGUACCAACUCCCGAUAACAAAACCUGUGGCUGAUUUGCUGUACUCGAUGCAGUUGUACGCUCACGCACCACUUCCUACCACCCUUUGC